RNAcentral lists this ribosomal RNA (647 nucleotides) under Fuscoporia formosana. Its description in RNAcentral is "partial small subunit ribosomal RNA". The record is from RNAcentral. Lineage: Eukaryota; Fungi; Basidiomycota; Agaricomycetes; Hymenochaetales; Hymenochaetaceae.
AAGAAUCAUCAUUGAAGAAUGAAGAAGCGGUGCUGAUGAGGCGGCGCAGCAGGUGAUCACAUCCUCCCAUCACAACUCUUCACCCCCUCACCACCGAGAAGAACUGAUAAGGGUGCUGAGCAGCACUCAUCACCUCCUUUUGGGGGAAGAAAGUGAAGAAUCGUCCGCCGUCUUUUAUUACUCCACAAACUUAAAAUAUUGUGUAGAAGAAAUCAUCGCCGAUGAGUCGACGUAGUAUUACUACAAUCAUCAACAGAUGUUCUGGCUGUUGUAGCGUCGAUGAAGACAGCAGAGUAAUAUGAUUAGUAAGAAGAGCAGCAGACAUCAAAUCAUCGUAUCAUCGAAGACACCACGCUGUCCUCGGUAGUAUUACGAGCAGCCCGCCUGGAGGAUCGUCAUAAUAUUAUCUAUUCUGAUGAUUUUUGAAUAGUCGCAUGAGGAGGAGGAGGAGGUUACUAUGGUCGUCAUCGAUGAUCUCCUCCUAUAUACUUCAGUAGAUGAGCUUUUACUUGAUGCAAUGGUGUAAUAAUUAUCUUCACCGAUGUAACUAGUGAAAUAGGCUUGCUUCUAAUCGUCUCUUGACCGAGACAUUAUAAGAAAAAGGGCAACCUUUCUCUUUGACUCUCUGACCUCAAAUCAGGUAGAUA